CCCAGACUCCUACGGGAGGCAGCAGUGGGGAAUAUUGCACAAUGGGGGGAACCCUGAUGCAGCGACGCCGCGUGAGUGAAGAAGUAUUUCGGUAUGUAAAGCUCUGUCAGCAGGGAAGAAGAAAGACGGUACCUGACCAAGAAGCCCCGGCUAACUACGUGCCAGCAGCCGCGGUAAUACGUAGGGGGCAAGCGUUAUCCGGAUUUACUGGGUGUAAAGGGAGCGUAGACGGCAGGGCAAGUCUGGAGUGAAAGGCGGGGGCUCAACCCCCGGACUGCUCUGGAAACUGUACGGCUGGAGUGCAGGAGAGGUAAGUGGAAUUCCUAGUGUAGCGGUGAAAUGCGUAGAUAUUAGGAGGAACACCAGUGGCGAAGGCGGCUUACUGGACUGUAACUGACGUUGAGGCUCGAAAGCGUGGGGAGCAAACAGGAUUAGAUACCCUAGUA
This 446-nucleotide ribosomal RNA is filed under the name uncultured bacterium. Its description in RNAcentral is "bacterial SSU rRNA". It matches the Rfam family "Bacterial small subunit ribosomal RNA", at positions 330 to 792 of the family's 1533-position model. The record is from RNAcentral.